GUGGUCGUAGCUCAGUUGGCAGAGCCCCGGAAUGUGGAUCCGGUGGUCCUCGGUUCGAUUCCGAGCGCCCACCCC
Molecule: transfer RNA, 75 nt
Filed under: Burkholderia lata
Lineage: Bacteria; Pseudomonadati; Pseudomonadota; Betaproteobacteria; Burkholderiales; Burkholderiaceae
Description: tRNA-His
Rfam family: tRNA
About the family: Transfer RNA (tRNA) molecules are approximately 80 nucleotides in length.
Source: RNAcentral